This 187-nucleotide non-coding RNA is filed under the name Sandaracinus sp. RNAcentral describes it as "6S RNA". It matches the Rfam family "6S / SsrS RNA". Rfam says of the family: E. coli 6S RNA was the first non coding RNA to be sequenced, but its function was unknown until recently. It consists of 184 nucleotides that fold into an extended hairpin structure with a large single-stranded internal bulge. RNAcentral also lists the same sequence under 2 other names. Lineage: Bacteria; Pseudomonadati; Myxococcota; Polyangiales; Sandaracinaceae. The record is from RNAcentral.
GUCCCUCUGCGGGACCCGUGAGGACGAGACACGAAUCCCUGACUAUGUCGACCAGGGGGCUUCAUCGGCCGUGGUGAGCAGACCCGGCUAGCUUCAUCGGGAAGCCUGAAGCGGUCCGAAAUCGGCUCCCACCUACUGAGUACGGUAGGGGUUCGACUCAACCACCCACGAUCUCCGCGGUAAGGAC